GACGAACGCUGGCGGCGUGCCUAAUACAUGCAAGUCGAGCGAAGUUUUUCUGGUGCUUGCACUAGAAAAACUUAGCGGCGAACGGGUGAGUAACACGUAAAGAACCUGCCUUAUAGACUGGGACAACUAUUGGAAACGAUAGCUAAUACCGGAUAACAGCAUUAACUGCAUGGUUGAUGUUUAAAAGUUGGUUUUGCUAACACUAUGAGAUGGCUUUGCGGUGCAUUAGCUAGUUGGUGGGGUAAAGGCCUACCAAGGCGACGAUGCAUAGCCGACCUGAGAGGGUGAUCGGCCACACUGGGACUGAGACACGGCCCAGACUCCUACGGGAGGCAGCAGUAGGGAAUCUUCCGCAAUGGGCGAAAGCCUGACGGAGCAACGCCGCGUGAGUGAAGAAGGAUUUCGGUUCGUAAAGCUCUGUUGUUAGGGAAGAAUGAUUGUGUAGUAACUAUACACAGUAGAGACGGUACCUAACCAGAAAGCCACGGCUAACUACGUGCCAGCAGCCGCGGUAAUACGUAGGUGGCAAGCGUUGUCCGGAAUUAUUGGGCGUAAAGCGCGCGCAGGUGGUUUAAUAAGUCUGAUGUGAAAGCCCACGGCUCAACCGUGGAGGGUCAUUGGAAACUGUUAAACUUGAGUGCAGGAGAGAAAAGUGGAAUUCCUAGUGUAGCGGUGAAAUGCGUAGAGAUUAGGAGGAACACCAGUGGCGAAGGCGGCUUUUUGGCCUGUAACUGACACUGAGGCGCGAAAGCGUGGGGAGCAAACAGG
Molecule: ribosomal RNA, 768 nt
Filed under: uncultured bacterium
Lineage: Bacteria
Description: bacterial SSU rRNA
Rfam family: Bacterial small subunit ribosomal RNA
Source: RNAcentral